Molecule: unclassified non-coding RNA, 1438 nt
Filed under: uncultured Neocallimastigales
Lineage: Eukaryota; Fungi; Neocallimastigomycota; Neocallimastigomycetes; Neocallimastigales
Description: partial contains small subunit ribosomal RNA, internal transcribed spacer 1, 5.8S ribosomal RNA, internal transcribed spacer 2, and large subunit ribosomal RNA
Rfam family: Eukaryotic large subunit ribosomal RNA (bases 661-1438)
Source: RNAcentral
UUUCCGUAGGUGAACCUGCGGAAGGAUCAUUAAAAAAUUGGACUCCAUUGGUGAGUUCAUUAAUAAUCCCUACCCUUUGUGAAUUUGUUUGUUUGAAUAAUUUUUUUUCCAAAAAAAAUUAUUGAAUGUCUUUCCUUGUUUUUGGUGGAGCUUGUAAAGUGAAACCAGGCAGGGGAAUGGCAAACAAUAAUUAUUUUUGAAAAAGACCUUUUUUUAAAAUUAAACUUUUUGUAUUCAUUUGUCUAAAAUUAAUUUUUAUAAUAUAAAAACAACUUUUGACAAUGGAUCUCUUGGUUCUCGCAACGAUGAAGAACGCAGCAAAAUGCGAUAAGUAGUGUGAAUUGCAGAAUACGUGAAUCAUCGAAUCUUCGAACGCAUAUUGCACUUUUUAGUUUACUAAAAAAGUAUGUCUGUUUGAGUAUCAGUAAAAUAUUCUCAUAAAAACAUUGUUUUUUUUAUGGUUAUGAGUGUUUUACAACGAUAACAAGUUGUUUCACUUUAAAUUCUUUGUUAUCAAAAAAAUCAUUAAAAGCUAAUUUUAAAGAUUUUUUAAAAUUGGAUAAAAUUUUCCCGUAAAAAGGAAUAACCUAAACAAUUUUAAAAAAUUAAAAUUGGUUUGAUUUUUUUUGAAACCCAAAGGAAAAAAAAACGAAAUUAACUUGAUCUCAAAUCAGAUAAGAGUACCCGCUGAACUUAAGCAUAUCAAUAAGCGGAGGAAAAGAAACUAACUAGGAUUCCCUCAGUAACGGCGAGUGAAGCGGGAAGAGCUCAAAUUUGAAAUCUUCAAGGUUUUGCCUUGACGAAUUGUAGUUUAAAGAAGUGUUUUCUGUUGGAGUUUUGGUAAAAGUUCUUUGGAAAAGGACAUCAUAGAGGGUGAGAAUCCCGUAUUUGACCAUUAUCUCCAGCUUUGUGAUACACUUUCAAAGAGUCGGAUUGUUUGGGAAUGCAGUCCAAAAUGGGUGGUAAAUUUCAUCUAAAGCUAAAUACUGGCGAGAGACCGAUAGCGAACAAGUACCGUGAGGGAAAGAUGAAAAGAACUUUGAAAAGAGAGUUAAACAGUACGUGAAAUUGUCAAAAGGGAAGCGUUUGACACCAGUGUUGUUUUCUCGAAAAUCAAUUAAAAAAGGCCGGAUUUUGUGUUGUAUUGACUUUAUCAGCUUUCCGCACUCUUUUCUUGUCUUUUUUAAUGCACUUUUCGUUUAACAAGUCAACAUCAAUUUCUUUUGUUGUAAAAGGGUCAUUGGAAGGUGGCUUUCUUUUCGGAGAAAGUGUUUAUAGCCUUUGGCCUCUGCAAUCGGAGAGAUUGAGGUCUGCAGCGUAGAUCCUUCGGGGUUAGAUACAUUUGUGCUAAGUUAUAGCCUUUCAUAGACAACUUGUUGACUAUGAUCAGUCAUGUAGCUUACUCGCUUAUGCUAUUUUACCUACGCUUAGGAUGUUG